Molecule: non-coding RNA, 73 nt
Organism: Parelaphostrongylus tenuis
Lineage: Eukaryota; Metazoa; Nematoda; Chromadorea; Rhabditida; Metastrongylidae
Source: the annotation of a GenBank genome assembly
GCGUCGGUGGUACAACGGUUAAGCACAUCCUCCCGGAAAGAGUAAGAUCUGGGUUCGAAUCCUGGCUGAUGCG